Molecule: long non-coding RNA, 612 nt
Organism: Herpailurus yagouaroundi (jaguarundi)
Lineage: Eukaryota; Metazoa; Chordata; Mammalia; Carnivora; Felidae
Exons: 2
Source: RefSeq, a predicted model, not a curated record
AGUACACUCAGUUACAUUUUCAGGGCAUCCUUAUCUUCCCACCAGGUGCUGGUAUAUUAAACAAGGCACAGUGCCUCUCAAAGAAAUGUAGCAGUAAUGGUGGAUUGCAACCAGAAGCCACAGAGGCAGAUCUGGAAAGGAAGGGGUACUCUUCUGAUCCUGAAAUCCUUUCCUGUAGCUACACCUGGACUCUGGCUCCCACUAAGGACACUAAUGCUUUCCAUGAGCAACCACAGAUGACUCAGCACAGAUGAGGACAUCAAACUUGUCCACCAUCCGCUCAAGAAUGGCACAUCAAUUGAGGAAGUGUCCAGGGCAGAUACAAAGUACAGUUUGGAGGCCAAAGUUGAUCAAUGAUGAGUUGAUCCUGAAUAUGGCAGUCGGAAUGGAGAGAUGGAUAAAUUUAAGAGCUAUGUGUGCAUUAAUGUGGACAGGAUUUAGAAGUGGAGAAGAUACUGAAGAUGAGGACAAGAAAAGUGGAAAGGAUCACGCUUAGUUUAUACUUUGUGGACUGUGACAAGUGAUUAUUGCCAUGAGACCAGCUUUGGUUUCUGCCAUAUUGGCCAACCUAGUUCUCCAUCCUGUAUGCACAUUAUAAUCACCUAAUUUUUU